UCUCUGAGGGUCUUGUGCUUAGGGCUCAGCCCUUUCACUGCUAGGGCCCGGGUUCGAUCCCUGGUCGGAGAA
This 72-nucleotide transfer RNA is filed under the name Bos taurus (domestic cattle). It matches the Rfam family "tRNA". Rfam says of the family: Transfer RNA (tRNA) molecules are approximately 80 nucleotides in length. Their secondary structure includes four short double-helical elements and three loops (D, anti-codon, and T loops). Lineage: Eukaryota; Metazoa; Chordata; Mammalia; Artiodactyla; Bovidae. The record is from Rfam by way of RNAcentral. RNAcentral also lists the same sequence under 3 other names.